UUGGGUGCUAUAGGGACGAGGAUUGAUCGGCGACGACUGGGGGUUGGUUGCCUCGUGCCAUCGUCAAGAGUUGUUUCGUGAUGUAUGAGUGGUCAACCGAUGAGGAGUCUUCAGUGAUAACUUGCGGGGAUCAUCGAGUAGCCAUCGACGGGCAAGGCUUUAGUCGGAUGGUUGUGGAGGACUAAUUGACGAAAGACAACAACUGACC
This 208-nucleotide long non-coding RNA is filed under the name Elaeis guineensis (African oil palm). RNAcentral's name for it is "long non-coding RNA (EGUI_LNC002799)". Lineage: Eukaryota; Viridiplantae; Streptophyta; Magnoliopsida; Arecales; Arecaceae. The record is from RNAcentral.